This is a ribosomal RNA of Pelodiscus sinensis (Chinese soft-shelled turtle), 117 nucleotides long. NCBI's taxonomy places the organism in Eukaryota, Metazoa, Chordata, Testudines, Trionychidae. The record is from Rfam.
ACCAAACAGCAUCCCACCCUGAACACGUCGGACCUUGUCUGAACUCGGAAGCCAAGCAGGGUCAGGUCUGGUUUGUAUGUGGAUGGGAGACCUUUUAGGAAUAGUUGUGCUGUGGCU